CCUGCCCCUAGAGGCAUUGUAGAUGUGGCUGCUGUGUCACAUGUGAAUCAGUAGGUGGCAGAGAAGAGAUAAGCUAUGUCUGCAUUAGAGUUCUGACCUGUAAACACCUGACAGAUUAGUAGCCUAACACC
Molecule: small nucleolar RNA, 131 nt
Organism: Meriones unguiculatus (Mongolian gerbil)
Lineage: Eukaryota; Metazoa; Chordata; Mammalia; Rodentia; Muridae
Source: Ensembl